RNAcentral lists this ribosomal RNA (254 nucleotides) under uncultured bacterium. RNAcentral describes it as "partial 16S ribosomal RNA". It matches the Rfam family "Bacterial small subunit ribosomal RNA", at positions 524 to 776 of the family's 1533-position model. The record is from RNAcentral.
UACGAGGGCCCCAAGCAUUAUCCGGAUUUAUUGGGCGUAAAGCGUCCGUAGGUGGUUUAUCGCAUCUCCUGUUAAAUCUCGAGGCUCAACCUCGAGUCAGCGGGAGAGAUGGAUAAACUAGAGAUCGGAAGAGGCAAACGGAAUUGCUGGUGUAGGGGUUAAAUCCAUUAAUAUCAGCAAGAACACCAAAUGCGAAGGCAGUUUGCUAGGACGAAUCUGACACUCAGUGGACGAAAGCGUGGGGAGCGAAUGGG